This 188-nucleotide small nucleolar RNA is filed under the name Ipomoea nil (Japanese morning glory). RNAcentral's name for it is "Plant small nucleolar RNA U3". It matches the Rfam family "Plant small nucleolar RNA U3". Rfam says of the family: Small nucleolar RNAs (snoRNAs) are involved in the processing and modification of rRNA in the nucleolus. There are two main classes of snoRNAs: the box C/D class, and the box H/ACA class. Lineage: Eukaryota; Viridiplantae; Streptophyta; Magnoliopsida; Solanales; Convolvulaceae. The record is from Rfam by way of RNAcentral.
ACGACCUUACUUGAACAGGAUUUGUUCUAUAAGCUCGUACCUCUGUAUCCUUCAGUUCUAAGGAGACAUGAAACCAAGCUUCGUGGAUGAACAAUGGCUAGAGCGUGAGUAACACCAUGGUACCCUCAUUUGACGGCUGUUAGGAACAAAUGUAUUUAGAUUUUGAUGAUACCAAACUCUCUUAGGCU